AUUCAAGCUGGUCUUUUAGCUGUGCCGAGCUUUAGUACUGCUUUUAGACUCCUGAAGAGCUGGAGGUGUAAAACUUAGAUGUGAGUUCACCACCAGUUUUGUAGUGCCUGUCACAAUGUUGAUAGUGAUACACGAUGGAGAAUCAGCAAGGGAAAGGCAAAAUACCAAGAGUUUCAUGUCCAGAAAUUGUGAAGUCAUGGGGCAUAAUGGCUAUGGCAAAAAAGAUCGUUUCAUUAGGUUAUCUCUUGUUUUAGGCUCUGGAAAUCUCUGGAAUUGCUGUCAGGGAGAGCUUUCUGUGGCUUCUCCCUCUGUCUCUACCUGGCACAUGGUACAGUUGAGAAAUGACGGUUCUUAUGCUAACUCUGCUUCCCAAAACAUCAUCCCUGUGGUUGUUAUUACACCAGAAACCAUCCAUCUUGCUGCUGGUUCAUACCCCAGCAGUACCCGGGGAGCUGCUGGGCCAGGCACUGUGUGAAGAGCAUGAAAAGAGAUCUGCUGCCCUAAGGAGCUGGAGAGAUAUCCCUGGGUAAGCUGAGCAUCUGCUGCUGCUUGGUGGAAAGCUGCAUCCCCAGCAUGAGUUUGCCAUGGAUAUCCAAGGGUACCACCCUUCCUAGGAGAGCAGAAGGAAGCCUUGGUUCCUGCAUUACCUGGCAGCAGCAAGUCCCCUGCAUGCAGAUACUGGCAUGGGGGACGUGGAACCUCUGUGGGGAUGGCCAUAACCAUCACCUCUGCCUUCUGCUGUGCUGCUGUGAGACCAAUGUGUGGUGAAGCCGACUCUUGUGCAGUCAUACUGGUUGUCCCCUGCAGUCCUGGUGGCUUCCUGUUCUCUUUGCUAACCAAGGCAACAGGGUCCCACCAGUCUGGUCCUUGCUUUUCCUGCCCGCUGCUGUGGUGCUAGGUUUGACAGCCACACUUCUUUUUCCUCAUACGAUCUCAUUAUCUCUCUUAGUCUCUGCUCUUCCUUCUGGCUCCAAUAAACCCCUCCUUGCAACAUUCUCUGUUUCCCA
This 1007-nucleotide long non-coding RNA is filed under the name Anas platyrhynchos platyrhynchos (common mallard). RNAcentral describes it as "lncRNA (ENSAPLG00000026323.1)". Lineage: Eukaryota; Metazoa; Chordata; Aves; Anseriformes; Anatidae. The record is from RNAcentral.